GUCGGAUUAGCUCAGUUGGUAAAGCAGCGGUUCUGUAUACCGAAGGUCCCGCGUUCGAUUCCUGCACCCGGGA
Molecule: transfer RNA, 73 nt
Filed under: hydrothermal vent metagenome
Description: tRNA-Pseudo-TGT
Source: RNAcentral